This 456-nucleotide ribosomal RNA is filed under the name Parvimonas micra. RNAcentral describes it as "bacterial SSU rRNA". It matches the Rfam family "Bacterial small subunit ribosomal RNA", at positions 28 to 483 of the family's 1533-position model. The record is from RNAcentral. Lineage: Bacteria; Bacillati; Bacillota; Tissierellia; Tissierellales; Peptoniphilaceae.
GACGAACGCUGGCGGCGUGCUUAACACAUGCAAGUCGAACGUGAUUUUUGUGGAAAUUCUUUCGGGAAUGGAAAUGAAAUGAAAGUGGCGAACGGGUGAGUAACACGUGAGCAACCUACCUUACACAGGGGGAUAGCCGUUGGAAACGACGAUUAAUACCGCAUGAGACCACAGAAUCGCAUGAUAUAGGGGUCAAAGAUUUAUCGGUGUAAGAAGGGCUCGCGUCUGAUUAGCUAGUUGGAAGGGUAAAGGCCUACCAAGGCGACGAUCAGUAGCCGGUCUGAGAGGAUGAACGGCCACAUUGGAACUGAGACACGGUCCAAACUCCUACGGGAGGCAGCAGUGGGGAAUAUUGCACAAUGGGGGGAACCCUGAUGCAGCGACGCCGCGUGAGCGAAGAAGGUUUUCGAAUCGUAAAGCUUCUGUCCUAUGAGAAGAUAAUGACGGUAUUCAUAG